RNAcentral lists this unclassified non-coding RNA (218 nucleotides) under Hevea brasiliensis (rubber tree). Lineage: Eukaryota; Viridiplantae; Streptophyta; Magnoliopsida; Malpighiales; Euphorbiaceae. The record is from RNAcentral.
GUGAUGUGUGCGGAGUGCUCGUGCAGUACCCCGGCACGGAGGGGGAGGUGCUGGACUACGCGGAGUUCGUCAAGGACGCGCACGCGCACGGCGUCAAGGUGGUCAUGGCCACCGACCUGCUCGCGCUCACCUCGCUGCGCCCGCCCGGUGAGAUCGGCGCCGACAUCGCCGUCGGCUCCGCGCAGCGGUUCGGCGUGCCCAUGGGGUACGGAGGCCCG